CCUACGGGCGGCUGCAGUGAGGAAUAUUGGACAAUGGAUGGAAAUCUGAUCCAGCCAUGCCGCGUGCAGGAAGACGGCCCUAUGGGUUGUAAACUGCUUUUGUAUGGGAGCAAUAAGGUCUACGAGUAGAUCGAUGAGAGUACCAUACGAAUAAGGAUCGGCUAACUCCGUGCCAGCAGCCGCGGUAAUACGGAGGAUCCGAGCGUUAUCCGGAUUUAUUGGGUUUAAAGGGUGCGUAGGCGGUUAAAUAAGUCAGCGGUGAAAGUUUUCAGCUCAACUGGAAAAAUGCCGUUGAUACUGUUUGGCUAGAAUAUGGUUGCUGUGGGUGGAAUGUGUGGUGUAGCGGUGAAAUGCUUAGAUAUCACACAGAAUAUCGAUUGCGAAGGCAGCUCACAAAGCCAUUAUUGACGCUGAGGCACGAAAGUGUGGGGAUCAAACAGGAUUAGAUACCCCAGUAGUC
This 460-nucleotide ribosomal RNA is filed under the name uncultured Bacteroidota bacterium. Its description in RNAcentral is "bacterial SSU rRNA". It matches the Rfam family "Bacterial small subunit ribosomal RNA", at positions 338 to 795 of the family's 1533-position model. The record is from RNAcentral. Lineage: Bacteria; Pseudomonadati; Bacteroidota.